AUACGGAGGAUCCGAGCGUUAUCCGGAUUUAUUGGGUUUAAAGGGUGCGCGGGCGGCCAUUUAAGUCAGCGGUUAAAUCGUGGGGCUCAACCCCAUUCUGCCGUUGAUACUGGGUGGCUUGAUUGCGGUCGAGGUUGGCGGAAUUCGUUGUGUAGCGGUGAAAUGCAUAGAUAUGACGAAGAACACCGAUUGCGUAGGCAGCUGACCAGACCGCAAAUGACGCUCAUGCACGAAAGUGCGGGGAUCGAACAGGAUUAGAUACCCUGGUAGUCCGCACAGUAAACGAUGAAUACUUGUUUUCGGCGAUAUAAUGUCGGAGGCAAAGCGAAAGCGAUAAGUAUUCCACCUGGGGAGUACGCCGGCAACGGUGAAACUCAAAGGAAUUGACGGGG
This 392-nucleotide ribosomal RNA is filed under the name uncultured bacterium. Its description in RNAcentral is "partial 16S ribosomal RNA". It matches the Rfam family "Bacterial small subunit ribosomal RNA", at positions 523 to 918 of the family's 1533-position model. The record is from RNAcentral.